GGUUAGGUUUUGGUUAAUGACGUGAACAAUACCUGUCCAGAACCAAGUCUGCCUAGCUAAUAACCGGUUCUUACUAGUUUCUUUCUUCUUUAGUACCAAGGGAAAAUAAGUCACGUGCCAGAAUCUACUGCCCUCAUGUGAUGGAAAGUGAAGGAGAGCGGUGACACUGCGAGUAUUGUCGAUGCCACGCAAAAGCUGUCCAACUGGGAGCGGAACAGCUGCCACUCUCAAUGCGAUAAGUGUCUGUUGUGGUGAUUGCUCUGCUCACGGCCCUCCCUGCUCCUGGUAGGGACGCCACAUUAGCUGGGGCUGGGUUUGUAAGAAAAUGUUCUUGACUAGCUGUAGUUACGAAGGGCACAAGGUCCCCAUUUUCAGAGGCUGCUCAAUUCUCUGGCCAGGAGCGGCGAGUUCUCUGCAGCAGAAGGUUGGAUCCAGGAGGAUGACUGCAGGUGGACACAGGCAGGGUGCUAGGUGUGCAUCCUCACAGGCUAGGUCUUGGGAGCCAUGGAGAAGGAAGAGCAGAGAAAAAUCAUGAGGGGCAGUGGGUGCUGAGGUGGUGCGGUGACUCUGAUUACUCAUCUCUGUUCAUCGAGUCGGGCUCAGGUGCACUUCCAGAGGAAGUGUCCAGGAGCCCCAGCCCGAGGAGAAGCUGGCAGAAGUGGAUCUGAUCAGCCUGAACAUCCUUCUAAGCAGACAUGAGCAGUCCUCAGCUUUCUGCCUCGCACAUAACAACACUUCAUGACUUUUAGCAGCACGGCUGAAGCUUAAGAUAAAUGCAUGGUAGAGGCUGAGUACAGGCGGCUGCUUCACUUUAGUACCACAGACAAAGAAGUCAAGGGUAAGAGCCCACCCCUGUUAUGAGAUGGAAAGCGCACAAGAGCCGUGAGACAGCGAGCAUUGUUGAUGCCAGGAUAUGCAGAUGCCGUCGAGCUGGAAGUGGAGCAGCCGUGACCAUCAGUGAGGACACGGGCAGUGGUGCUAGCUGUGCAUCCCCGCAGGCUAGGUCUCGGGAGCCAUGAAGAAGUAGGAGGGGAUGAAAAUCAUGCUGGAC
Molecule: long non-coding RNA, 1051 nt
Organism: Mauremys mutica (yellowpond turtle)
Lineage: Eukaryota; Metazoa; Chordata; Testudines; Geoemydidae
Exons: 5
Source: RefSeq, a predicted model, not a curated record